ACGGGUGAGUAACUGUGAGUAACCUGCCCUUGACUCUGGGUAAAGCCUGGGAAACUGGGUCUAAUACCGGAUACGACCAUCUGGCGCAUGUCAAGGUGGUGGAAAGCUUUUGUGGUUUUGGAUGGACUCGCGGCCUAUCAGCUUGAUGGUGGGGUAAUGGCCUACCAAGGCGACGACGGGUAGCCGGCCUGAGAGGGUGACCAGCCACACUGGGACUGAGACACGGCCCAGACUCCUACGGGAGGCAGCAGUGGGGAAUAUUGCACAAUGGGCGCAAGCCUGAUGCAGCGACGCCGCGUGAGGGAUGACGGCCUUCGGGUUGUAAACCUCUUUCAGUAGGGAAGAAGCCGUAAGGUGACGGUACCUGCAGAAGAAGCGCCGGCUAACUACGUGCCAGCAGCCGCGGUAAUACGUAGGGCGCAAGCGUUAUCCGGAAUUAUUGGGCGUAAAGAGCUCGUAGGCGGUUUGUCGCGUCUGCUGUGAAAGACCGGGGCUCAACUCCGGUUCUGCAGUGGGUACGGGCAGACUAGAGUGCAGUAGGGGAGACUGGAAUUCCUGGUGUAGCGGUGAAAUGCGCAGA
This 580-nucleotide ribosomal RNA is filed under the name Micrococcaceae bacterium RDB-146. RNAcentral describes it as "bacterial SSU rRNA". It matches the Rfam family "Bacterial small subunit ribosomal RNA", at positions 102 to 694 of the family's 1533-position model. The record is from RNAcentral. Lineage: Bacteria; Bacillati; Actinomycetota; Actinomycetes; Micrococcales; Micrococcaceae.